Molecule: long non-coding RNA, 1887 nt
Filed under: Phoenix dactylifera (date palm)
Lineage: Eukaryota; Viridiplantae; Streptophyta; Magnoliopsida; Arecales; Arecaceae
Description: long non-coding RNA (PDAC_LNC007585)
Source: RNAcentral
UUGCAAUAGGGCUGGGGCUGCAGUUGAUUGAAGAGCUUGUAUGCUAGCUAGGAUGUCUUACAUGGUAGCUUGCAUUUGCAAAAACCAAGACUCAAGUUUGUCAAUUGGAGAGUCAGUGUUAAGUUGGUUACCUAGCUGAAGCUUUGUUGGAUUGCGAUCGGACUUUUAGAAGGUUCUUGCAAUUGCAUAGGAGCAUACAUAGAUCAAUUGGGAUUGCUGUGGAGAACUUUUGGCUUGAUUAAGACCGUUGUGGAGUCUUGGUUUGUCUAGAAUUGCCACAAAGUCUCGAUUCGAUUGGAAUUGGUGCAAAGGAGGCUGGGUUCAAUUGGGAUUGCUGCGGAGUCCUGGUCCGACUUGAAUUGCUGUGGAGUCUUGGUUUGAUUGGGAUUGCUACGAAGUUCUAACUUUGACCGAAAUUGUUGCAAAGGAAUGUUGGUUCGAUUAAGGUUGUUAUGCAAGAGUCGUGGUUCGAUGAGUGAUUGUUGCGAAGGAGUCCUAGUUUGACUAGAUUUGCUGUGUAGGAGUCUUGGUUUGAUUGGGAUUGCUGCAAAGGAAUCUUGGUUCGAUUAGGACUACUGUGGUAGUCCUAGUUCAACUGGGACUUAGCUGUUUCAACCUUUAUCUGAUGGUGAGUUCUUGGUGUUGGAUGCAUGCUUUGACAUCAUUGCAUGGUUCACGGCCCUUGGUAGCAAGUCAGGCCGAUAGGAUCUACAGAUGGAGCGUGUUGUAGUGUAAUUAUGGCUAGUAAUGAAAGUAGGUUUGCCCUAGGAUUCGGCUGUGGAUGUAGGAUGUGGGAUGCUUGCGAGUGGAAGAGAAGCUAGGGUACAAAUACUACUAGGAUGACCUUUGCAGGACUUGUCCUCUAUCCACCCUCGAUUGGAUAAGGGAAUUCUAGCACACUCACAACUCCAGCAGAAAAGAACAAAAAAAUCCUUUGUAGGCUAGAAGUUUGAAAGCAGUUUGGACUUUGAAAGCAACUUGAAGUUCAAAAGAAAUUAGAAAUUUGAAAAAGACUAAUCUUGAGAGUAACUUUUUAUUUUUUUUGAGAUCAAAUAAGAAUAGGAAUUUAAAAAUGAUUGGGACUUAAAUGUUAAGAGAAUUAGGUUUCCUGCACUAAGCAUACAUGCAUACAAGGUCGAAACAAGAAAGAAUGUGCUUUGAUACUAGAAUGAGCGACAUGGUGGAAGAAAGGAAUCAAAAAAUUAAUUAUGAAAUAAACUAGAAGUCAAUUAAAGAUCAACUAGAAGUUUAGAAAAAAGAACUUAAGAGCAAACACAAGUUAACAUGCACUCACGAGAAAAGAUACUUCAUUAAUGUGAAUUUCAUGUAUACAUGGGGGUAUUAAUAUGUUUUAGGGUCCUUACGUUGCAAGAAACUUGAGGUCCCUUAAAUCUUGGUUCAAACUCAACUAACUUGUGAAACAAGGCUUCUAGAACAUCUUAAGAAUAUCAACUAGGACUCUAAAAGGUGCUCUAGAAUAAAGAAACAAGAAAGAUUUGACUAAGAAUAUUAGAAAAACUAUCCUUAAAUUAAUAGGCCAUGGAAUGACAUUUUCUUAAUUAUUUUGAACCUCGUCAACAACGUGUUAGCAUGAUAUGUCUUCAAUAAAAUCAUCAUAACUUCAUUUUAAGCUCCAGAUAAGGUGAUUCGGGAUGCAUUGUAAAUGCUGGAUAUAUUGGAAAUGGUUUGAGCACGAAAUUCACCUUGUACUGACUUUGUAAUGCUAUCUUUGGGACUGUUGUGCGCUAGACUGCAACUUGACUUCUUAUUACGUUCUUAGCUUCCAAAACUUAAGCUCAUUAGGCACAUGUGAGUCAAGUGUCACUUCAUAUCCACCUUCUACUCAGUUUUGGAAGUGUCUGGAGCACGGUCUGCUGAACCGGCCCG